UGGGCGCGUAGCUCAGUUGGUUAGAGCGCUACGUUGACAUCGUAGAGGUCACAGGUUCGAAUCCUGUCGCGCCCAU
This 76-nucleotide transfer RNA is filed under the name Gammaproteobacteria bacterium. RNAcentral describes it as "tRNA-Val". It matches the Rfam family "tRNA". From Rfam's summary of the family: Transfer RNA (tRNA) molecules are approximately 80 nucleotides in length. Their secondary structure includes four short double-helical elements and three loops (D, anti-codon, and T loops). The record is from RNAcentral. RNAcentral also lists the same sequence under 1 other name. Lineage: Bacteria; Pseudomonadati; Pseudomonadota; Gammaproteobacteria.